GUAGGUGAACCUGCGGAAGGAUCAUUAGAGACGGGCCCGCGGCACCGGCGACACUCGUCGGUCUCGCGCGCGCCUCAUCCGACCGAGCGUCGACCGAAAGAUGGUUACACCAUCGAAAGACCGUCCGCGGCCCCCGGGCCGUGGAAAAAUUUCGACAAAAACAAAAACACCCGACCCCGAACGGCGGAUCACUUGGCUCGU
This 201-nucleotide unclassified non-coding RNA is filed under the name rhizosphere metagenome. RNAcentral's name for it is "partial ribosomal RNA internal transcribed spacer region". The record is from RNAcentral.